Molecule: ribosomal RNA, 670 nt
Filed under: Enterobacter cloacae
Lineage: Bacteria; Pseudomonadati; Pseudomonadota; Gammaproteobacteria; Enterobacterales; Enterobacteriaceae
Description: bacterial SSU rRNA
Rfam family: Bacterial small subunit ribosomal RNA
Source: RNAcentral
UUUUAGAGUUUGAUCCUGGCUCAGAUUGAACGCUGGCGGCAGGCCUAACACAUGCAAGUCGAACGGUAGCACAGAGAGCUUGCUCUCGGGUGACGAGUGGCGGACGGGUGAGUAAUGUCUGGGAAACUGCCUGAUGGAGGGGGAUAACUACUGGAAACGGUAGCUAAUACCGCAUAACGUCGCAAGACCAAAGAGGGGGACCUUCGGGCCUCUUGCCAUCAGAUGUGCCCAGAUGGGAUUAGCUAGUAGGUGGGGUAACGGCUCACCUAGGCGACGAUCCCUAGCUGGUCUGAGAGGAUGACCAGCCACACUGGAACUGAGACACGGUCCAGACUCCUACGGGAGGCAGCAGUGGGGAAUAUUGCACAAUGGGCGCAAGCCUGAUGCAGCCAUGCCGCGUGUAUGAAGAAGGCCUUCGGGUUGUAAAGUACUUUCAGCGGGGAGGAAGGUGUUGUGGUUAAUAACCGCAGCAAUUGACGUUACCCGCAGAAGAAGCACCGGCUAACUCCGUGCCAGCAGCCGCGGUAAUACGGAGGGUGCAAGCGUUAAUCGGAAUUACUGGGCGUAAAGCGCACGCAGGCGGUCUGUCAAGUCGGAUGUGAAAUCCCCGGGCUCAACCUGGGAACUGCAUUCGAAACUGGCAGGCUAGAGUCUUUAGAGGGGGAUCGGG